GUCCACGCCGUAAACGAUGAGAACUAGCUGUCCGGGCACUUGGUGCCUGGGUGGCGCAGCUAACGCAUUAAGUUCUCCGCCUGGGGAGUACGGCCGCAAGGUUAAACUCAAAGAAAUUGACGGGGCCUGCACAAGCGGUGGAGCAUGUGGUUUAAUUCGAAGCAACGCGCAGAACCUUACCAACGUUUGACAUGUCCAGUAUGGUUACCAGAGAUGGUUUCCUUCAGUUCGGCUGGCUGGAACACAGGUGCUGCAUGGCUGUCGU
This 265-nucleotide ribosomal RNA is filed under the name uncultured bacterium. RNAcentral's name for it is "partial 16S ribosomal RNA". It matches the Rfam family "Bacterial small subunit ribosomal RNA", at positions 793 to 1055 of the family's 1533-position model. The record is from RNAcentral.